AAUGAACGUUGGCGGCAUGGAUUAGGCAUGCAAGUCGAGCGAGAAGAGUUUUGAAGCUUGCUUUAGAACUCGGACAGCGGCGAAAGGGAGAGUAACGCGUAGUUAUGUGCCCUAGAGUCCGGAAUAGCCACGGGAAACUGUGGGUAAUGCCGGAUAAUAUCCCCGGAUCAAAGGUGUGAUUCCGCCCUAGGCGCAGACUGCGUCCUACUAGCUAGUUGGUGGGGUAAUGGCCUACCAAGGCAACGAUGGGUAGCGGGUGUGAGAGCAUGACCCGUCUCACUGGGACUGAGACACUGCCCAGACACCUACGGGUGGCUGCAGUCGAGAAUCUUCGGCAAUGGGCGAAAGCCUGACCGAGCGAUGCCGCGUGCGGGAUGAAGGCCCUCGGGUUGUAAACCGCUGUCGUAGGGGAGGAAGGUUCCGUGAAGAGCGGAAUUUGACCUAUCCUAGGAGGAAGUACGGGCUAAGUUCGUGCCAGCAGCCGCAGUAA
Molecule: ribosomal RNA, 490 nt
Filed under: uncultured bacterium
Lineage: Bacteria
Description: partial 16S ribosomal RNA
Rfam family: Bacterial small subunit ribosomal RNA
Source: RNAcentral